RNAcentral lists this ribosomal RNA (368 nucleotides) under uncultured organism. Its description in RNAcentral is "partial 23S ribosomal RNA". It matches the Rfam family "Bacterial large subunit ribosomal RNA", at positions 2099 to 2465 of the family's 2925-position model. The record is from RNAcentral.
CUUUACUGUAACCUGAGAUUGAAUUUGAGCUUUUUUUGCGCAGUCUAGGUGGGAGGCGUUGAGUCUUUUUUUUAGGAAAAAGAAGAGCCGUUCGUGAGAGACCACCCUUAAAAAGCUAGGAUUCUAAGAAUGUUCCUUGAAACAGGACAUUUAACAGUCUUUGGUGGGCAGUUUGACUGGGGCGGUCAUCUCUUAAAAGGUAACAGAGAUGUACAAAGGUUCCUUCAGGCUGGACGGAAAUCAGUCGUAGAGUGUAAAGGCAUAAGGGAGCUUGACUGUAAGACUUACAAGUCAAACAGAGGCGAAAGCCGGUCUUAGUGAUCCGACGGUACCAAGUGGAAGGGCCGUCGCUAAACGGAUAAAAGUUA